This 730-nucleotide ribosomal RNA is filed under the name uncultured eukaryote. Its description in RNAcentral is "SSU rRNA". It matches the Rfam family "Eukaryotic small subunit ribosomal RNA", at positions 672 to 1426 of the family's 1831-position model. The record is from RNAcentral.
CGCGUGCACUGGUUCGGCCGGGUCUUUCCUUCUGCGGAACGGCAUGCCCUUCACUGGGUGUGUUUUGGGAAGCAGGACUUUUACUUUGAAAAAAUUAGAGUGUUCAAAGCAGGCCUUUGCUCGAAUACAUUAGCAUGGAAUAAUGGAAUAGGACGGUGCUCCUAUUUUGUUGGUUUCUAGGAGAGCCGUAAUGAUUAAUAGGGACAGUUGGGGGCAUCCGUAUUCAGUUGUCAGAGGUGAAAUUCUUGGAUUUACUGAAGACGAACUACUGCGAAAGCAUUUGCCAAAGAUGUUUUCAUUAAUCAGUGAACGAAAGUUAGGGGAUCGAAGACGAUCAGAUACCGUCGUAGUCUUAACCAUAAACUAUGCCGACUAGGGAUCGGGCGAUGUUAUUGUAUUGACUCGCUCGGCACCUUUCGAGAAAUCAAAGUGUUUGGGUUCUGGGGGGAGUAUGGUCGCAAGGCUGAAACUUAAAGAAAUUGACGGAAGGGCACCACCAGGAGUGGAGCCUGCGGCUUAAUUUGACUCAACACGGGGAAACUCACCAGGUCCAGAUACACGUAGGAUUGACAGAUUGAGAGCUCUUUCUUGAUUGUGUAGUUGGUGGUGCAUGGCCGUUCUUAGUUGGUGGAGUGAUUUGUCUGCUUAAUUGCGAUAACGAACGAGACCUUCAUCGUUAACUAGCCCGGCCCGCCUUGGCGGGUCGCCGGCUUCUUAGCGAGACUUUUGG